Molecule: long non-coding RNA, 1400 nt
Organism: Terrapene triunguis (Three-toed box turtle)
Lineage: Eukaryota; Metazoa; Chordata; Testudines; Emydidae
Exons: 6
Source: RefSeq, a predicted model, not a curated record
GCCCGGCCCGCCUCACGGUGGCUUAGAGUCACAGUUCCCUGCAGAGAUCCCUGUAUCCUCUCUCUCAUGUGGAAUGGACAUGCAGAAGCUGCUCUUACAGAGGAAUUGUUGUUCAGGAGCCCUAACCAGAGGAGAAGCUGGCAGAAGUGGAUCUGAGCAGCUUGGACAUCCUUCUAAGCAGAUAUGAACAGUCCUCAGCUUUCUGCCUCCCUCAUAACUACACUUCACGACUUUUAGCGGCACGGCUGAAGCCUAAGAUAAAUGCAUGGUAGAGGCUGAGUACAGACGGCUGCUUCCCUUUAGUAGGAUGGAGAAAGAAGUCAAGGGUAAGAGCCCACCCCCGUUGUGAGAUGGAAGGCGCACAAGAGCCAUGAGACAGUGAGCAUUGUUGAUGCCAGGCUAUGGCGAUGCCAUCUAGCUGGAAGCGGAGCAGCCGUCACUGUCAGUGAGUUAAGUGUCUGGUUUGGUGAGGAGUCUGGUCACGGCCCACAUGGCUCCAGGCAGGGAUGCGCCGUUAGCUUGGUCUGUGUUUGUAAGAAAAGGUUCCCGUCUAGCUGUGGCUACGAGGGAGACGAGGUCCCCGUUAUCAGGGGCUGCUCAUUUUGUCUGGUCAGGAGCGGUCUGUCCACCGCAGCGAAAGGUUGCAUCUAGGAGGAUGACUCUAGCUGAGGAACAGUCGAGCAGCAGCCGAAGGAAAAGCUGGCAGAGGUGGACCUGAGCAGCCUGGACAUCCUUGUAAGCAGAGAUUAACAAUCCUCCGCUUUCUGCCUUCUGCAUAACUGACUAGGGAGAAUUUCCCUAUAUUGGGAGCAGCUGAUCUUCCUGGACAGGGAGGAGCAUGUUCACCUGAGCAGAGGCCUGGAACCGGAAAGAACUUUGGGCAGUGAUGGCUCCUGCUUGGGUUAUAUGCUGUGUUUGCGGAGGAAUCGCCCAGGAGCCCCAGCCAGAGGAGAAACUGGAAGAAGUGAACCUGAGCAGCCUGGACAUCCUUGUAAGCAGAGAUGAACAGUCCUCCGCUUUCUGUCUUCUCCAUGACUGGCUGUGAGUGAACAAUUAUGGCACUCUAUUGCUCAUCCGUACCACUCUAGUUUUCUUCUACCAUUCUCCUGCUGCUCUCUGGCCCUGCUGUAUCAUGGCACCCAGUGUCACUGUUGCUCCUUAAGGAAAUGCUCUGUGCAUUACCCCAGGUGUCCACCCAGUGCCACUGUUGCUCCAUGGGGGAAAUGCUUUGUGCAUUACCUGGAUUAGCCACCCAGUGUCACUGUUGCUUUAUUUGGGAAAUGCUCUGUGCAACUAUACAGAGUGUCCACCCGGUGUCAAUAUUGCUCCAUGAAGGAAAUGCUCUGUGAUUACCCGGGGUGGCCACGCAGUCUCAUUUUUGCUUCAUGAGAGAAAUGUUC